GGCCCAAGCAAAGGAGAGAAUAUUGGGUACCCCAAGGGUACCCCGUCAGCAUUGACACCUGCUACCCCAAUUCAAUUAAAACAUGACACGUGGCUAACUUUCCACAUCAGCAUCAUGCUCAACAUAGCAGCAAGCCACUAACGGAGACGUCGUCAACUUUCUUUCUCUCUCCUCAGCCCUCCAUCCCACUUUCUCUCUCUCUCCUCGUUGCUUUUUUCAGAGAACCAAGUAUCCCACUUUCUUUCUAUCUCCUCAUUGCUUUUUUCGGGGAACCAAGUUAUGGAUUGGGGCUGAGACGAAAUUCUAAUUUCCCACAUAACAAUGGUUACAAUGAGUCCCGUUCUCUCUGUUAUUUCUCUCAUGAGUUUUUGAGGUUGAUUUGCAAGACUUCCCUGUAGGUUCUCUGAAAUUAGCUUUAUACUAUUUUUGGUAUCACCUAUAGGAUAAUCCUCGCUUCUCCUGUGAGGCAGCGAAUUCCAGGUUGGACUUCUGGGACAUUAUAGCAUGCUGCUCGGAGUUCUGGACCAGCAGCUCUAUGUAUGGCUAUCAAAAGGACACCCAAAAUUACGGCAAGGAUUUGGAUGAUGGGCCAUCCGAGAAGUACGUUGAUUGCUGAGAAUCCGGCGAAGAACGUGAUGGCGACGGCGAGAGAGGAUCGGCGGCAAAAACUGAAUCGGCGAUGUGCAAUUUCAGGUAAGGAUUCCUGGUUCGGCCGGCUGGUGCAGCGAUGACGAUGGCGAUGGCGGCAUGGCCGGCGAUGGGCUGUGGAGAGGUCGGUUGUGACCUUGCGGUGCGGCACCGGUGGGCAAGAAUUGGCCGGCUGGCUUUGCCGGUUUUGACACAAGCGGCCGACAACCGAUUCACUUACAAAACCUAUACUGGUUAUCUAGCCUUGUGUUCAAAAUCCUCAUUUUUUUGUUCAUUAUUGAGUGAUUAAAAAGGGUUUGGAUGGAAGUUAUUGGGUCUUUGUUUGUUCGCACAGGGAGUCCAAUCCGGCUUUCUUGUUGUGCAUACCAGCACGUUUGACUUGGUACUCGUUGAUGGUGAUUCCGACGACGUUCACGCCGGAGUGGACGGUGAUGGCCACCAACAUUAUUUCUAGUGGCCCACACAUACUGCUAGUUCACUUCAACCAACGUUGAAAAGAUCAUGUUCCAAUAUUGAAAAAUCAAGAAGAGUACGGCAAGGCAGAGUACAAAAGUAUAGUAGUACUACCGCAAAUAUCAUGUUCCAUUUUCAUUUCUUACAAACGUAUCUUUCUAAUUUUUUUCAAAUACAUAUAUUUAUAUAUAUAUAAGGACCUCCUAGUAUUGGUGCCACUAAGCAUUUA
Molecule: long non-coding RNA, 1330 nt
Organism: Cornus florida
Lineage: Eukaryota; Viridiplantae; Streptophyta; Magnoliopsida; Cornales; Cornaceae
Exons: 2
Source: RefSeq, a predicted model, not a curated record